Molecule: ribosomal RNA, 253 nt
Filed under: uncultured bacterium
Lineage: Bacteria
Description: partial 16S ribosomal RNA
Rfam family: Bacterial small subunit ribosomal RNA
Source: RNAcentral
CACGGGGGGAGCAAGCGUUGUUCGGAAUCACUGGGCGUAAAGCGUGCGUAGACGGUUAUGUAAGUCGGGUGUGAAAGCCCCGGGCUCAACCUGGGAAUUGCAUUCGAGACUGCAUAGCUAGGGUGCGGAAGAGGGAAGCGGAAUUUCCGGUGUAGCGGUGAAAUGCGUAGAUAUCGGAAGGAACAUCAGUGGCGAAAGCGGCUUCCUGGUCCAGCACCGACGUUCAGGCACGAAAGCGUGGGGAGCAAACAGG